RNAcentral lists this ribosomal RNA (501 nucleotides) under Triticum aestivum (bread wheat). RNAcentral describes it as "partial small subunit ribosomal RNA". Lineage: Eukaryota; Viridiplantae; Streptophyta; Magnoliopsida; Poales; Poaceae. The record is from RNAcentral.
AUGAUCGAGGUGGGCGACUACGGGGAAAUCCUGUCAGAUGAUACAAUACAUGCACUGCAACUGCUAGACACACCAGCAGCUCAAGAACCAGAGUGUUGCUCACUAUCCCAUCAUGCCGUCUCCGGUGAGGAAGCCCCCUCCACCAUGCGUCUCCGAGCGCAAGUAGGAGAUCAAGUGAUGAUGUUGUUAGUUGAUUCAGGCAGUACCCAUAGUUUCGUCAGUGAGUCCUUUCUCUCGAGGUUGUCUGUCCAAACUGAACCCCUGCCGCCUGUCUCUGUCCGGGUAGCGAAUGGCCAACGUCUGCAGUGCGACAAGAUCGUCCGAUCCUUGCCAUGGGAAGUGCCAGGACACACCUUCCACACCAAUCUGCGAGUACUGCAACUCAGUGCGUAUGAUGGGGUUCUCCGAAUGGAUUGGCUGUCGCAGCACAGUCCUAUGAACUGCCACUGGCAACUGAAGACGAUUUCCAUCCUGGUGGGUGAUAAAACAGUGCACCUCUAA